AGGAUCAACGCUGGCGGCGUGCCUAACACAUGCAAGUCGAACGCGAAAGUCCCGCAAGGGAUGAUUAGAGUGGCAAACGGGUGAGUAACGCGUGGGUGACCUGCCUUCGAGUGGGGGAUAACGUUCCGAAAGGGACGCUAAUACCGCAUGACAUCCUGCCUUUGAAGAGGCGGAGAUCAAAGCUGGGGAUCGCAAGACCUGGCGCUUGGAGAGGGGCCCGCGUCCGAUUAGCUAGUUGGUGGGUAACGGCCUACCAAGGCAACGAUCGGUA
RNAcentral lists this ribosomal RNA (271 nucleotides) under uncultured soil bacterium. RNAcentral's name for it is "partial 16S ribosomal RNA". It matches the Rfam family "Bacterial small subunit ribosomal RNA", at positions 26 to 285 of the family's 1533-position model. The record is from RNAcentral.